UGGCUUCCGGAGCUAACGCGUUAAGUCGACCGCCUGGGGAGUACGGCCGCAAGGUUAAAACUCAAAUGAAUUGACGGGGGCCCGCACAAGCGGUGGAGCAUGUGGUUUAAUUCGAUGCAACGCGAAGAACCUUACCUGGUCUUGACAUCCACGGAAGUUUUCAGAGAUGAGAAUGUGCCUUCGGGAACCGUGAGACAGGUGCUGCAUGGCUGUCGUCAGCUCGUGUUGUGAAAUGUUGGGUUAAGUCCCGCAACGAGCGCAACCCUUAUCCUUUGUUGCCAGCGGUCCGGCCGGGAACUCAAAGGAGACUGCCAGUGAUAAACUGGAGGAAGGUGGGGAUGACGUCAAGUCAUCAUGGCCCUUACGACCAGGGCUACACACGUGCUACAAUGGCGCAUACAAAGAGAAGCGACCUCGCGAGAGCAAGCGGACCUCAUAAAGUGCGUCGUAGUCCGGAUUGGAGUCUGCAACUCGACUCCAUGAAGUCGGAAUCGCUAGUAAUCGUGGAUCAGAAUGCCACGGUGAAUACGUUCCCGGGCCUUGUACACACCGCCCGUCACACCAUGGGAGUGGGUUGCAAAAGAAGUAGGUAGCUUAACCUUCGGGAGGGCGCUUACCACUUUGUGAUUCAUGACUGGGGUGAAGUCGUAACAAGGUAACCGUAGGGGAACCUGCGGUUGGAUCACCUCCUUACCUUAAAGAAGC
RNAcentral lists this ribosomal RNA (705 nucleotides) under Shigella flexneri. RNAcentral describes it as "bacterial SSU rRNA". It matches the Rfam family "Bacterial small subunit ribosomal RNA", at positions 840 to 1533 of the family's 1533-position model. The record is from RNAcentral. Lineage: Bacteria; Pseudomonadati; Pseudomonadota; Gammaproteobacteria; Enterobacterales; Enterobacteriaceae.